This 1247-nucleotide ribosomal RNA is filed under the name Staphylococcus aureus. RNAcentral's name for it is "partial 23S ribosomal RNA". It matches the Rfam family "Bacterial large subunit ribosomal RNA", at positions 1603 to 2853 of the family's 2925-position model. The record is from RNAcentral. Lineage: Bacteria; Bacillati; Bacillota; Bacilli; Caryophanales; Staphylococcaceae.
CACUGCCGAGAAAAGCCUCUAGAUAGAAAAUAGGUGCCCGUACCGCAAACCGACACAGGUAGUCAAGAUGAGAAUUCUAAGGUGAGCGAGCGAACUCUCGUUAAGGAACUCGGCAAAAUGACCCCGUAACUUCGGGAGAAGGGGUGCUCUUUAGGGUUAACGCCCAGAAGAGCCGCAGUGAAUAGGCCCAAGCGACUGUUUAUCAAAAACACAGGUCUCUGCUAAACCGUAAGGUGAUGUAUAGGGGCUGACGCCUGCCCGGUGCUGGAAGGUUAAGAGGAGUGGUUAGCUUCUGCGAAGCUACGAAUCGAAGCCCCAGUAAACGGCGGCCGUAACUAUAACGGUCCUAAGGUAGCGAAAUUCCUUGUCGGGUAAGUUCCGACCCGCACGAAAGGCGUAACGAUUUGGGCACUGUCUCAACGAGAGACUCGGUGAAAUCAUAGUACCUGUGAAGAUGCAGGUUACCCGCGACAGGACGGAAAGACCCCGUGGAGCUUUACUGUAGCCUGAUAUUGAAAUUCGGCACAGCUUGUACAGGAUAGGUAGGAGCCUUUGAAACGUGAGCGCUAGCUUACGUGGAGGCGCUGGUGGGAUACUACCCUAGCUGUGUUGGCUUUCUAACCCGCACCACUUAUCGUGGUGGGAGACAGUGUCAGGCGGGCAGUUUGACUGGGGCGGUCGCCUCCUAAAAGGUAACGGAGGCGCUCAAAGGUUCCCUCAGAAUGGUUGGAAAUCAUUCAUAGAGUGUAAAGGCAUAAGGGAGCUUGACUGCGAGACCUACAAGUCGAGCAGGGUCGAAAGACGGACUUAGUGAUCCGGUGGUUCCGCAUGGAAGGGCCAUCGCUCAACGGAUAAAAGCUACCCCGGGGAUAACAGGCUUAUCUCCCCCAAGAGUUCACAUCGACGGGGAGGUUUGGCACCUCGAUGUCGGCUCAUCGCAUCCUGGGGCUGUAGUCGGUCCCAAGGGUUGGGCUGUUCGCCCAUUAAAGCGGUACGCGAGCUGGGUUCAGAACGUCGUGAGACAGUUCGGUCCCUAUCCGUCGUGGGCGUAGGAAAUUUGAGAGGAGCUGUCCUUAGUACGAGAGGACCGGGAUGGACAUACCUCUGGUGUACCAGUUGUCGUGCCAACGGCAUAGCUGGGUAGCUAUGUGUGGACGGGAUAAGUGCUGAAAGCAUCUAAGCAUGAAGCCCCCCUCAAGAUGAGAUUUCCCAACUUCGGUUAUAAGAUCCCUCAAAGAUGAUGAGGU